UUUCUGGGUGUGGGUUGUACUGUUCUUAAGUUGUCACUGGUCAUCAGAAAAGCUCUGGGACGGAGGAUGUCUCUCAGGCUGAAGAGAUCAUACUCCCCAUGGCUAAAAACAGCCUUGGACCCUGCCAGAGUCUCACUCUGGUACCAGUCAUUUCACAGUGGGAACUCUGAAAGGCUCAGACUGACCCAACUGGACUUGGCUAAGUGGGAUGCAGGAGCUGCCAAAGCCCAUUCCACCAUGGGGCCCCUGGGCAGGGGUUCUGCAGCUGUUGGUGGGAGGUGGACGAUGGACCACCUCUGGGACACACAGUGCUCCUGAUCCACCACGGGAAGCUGCUCUGGUUCCUGUCUCUCUUCAGCAUUCAUAAUGAUAUCUUGGCUUGUUCAAGCUCUCUUCAUAAAUCCUGAUAAACUCCUAACCUCAAAAACAUCCUGUAACUAGGGGCUCCCUAGUCUAGUUGCCAUGUUGUGAGAAAAAGUGCUUCCCGUUAUCACCAUUACAUUUGCAGCUGCUGAGCUUCAUCAAAUCUCUUCAUGCCCUUGUUUUAAAGACAAUGUGAAUAUUAAUUCCUCUCUCCCUUAUUUAUGACACCCACUCUCUUCAUACAUCCAUUCUGCCCCCUCUUAUUAAUCUACCCUUGAAGGUAAACUGAGCCAGCUUUUUCAAUCUCUUCCUAUGGAAGUUUUGCUUGCCCACGUCAGUAAUGCAAUCAAUUAUUACGUACCUGCCUUGAAUAGGGCUCUGAAUCUGAAAGAACAAGGUGACUCUAUAUCACAUUAUUCAAAAGCAAGAACAAGCACCACUUCCUCUGAUAUAUCUACAGAAAUAACUUAAAGGAAAGGCUUAGAACAGCAUCUCCUGUCUUUGUAGUACAAUUUUUCUAUCAUUAUAUUCUGUACAGAAGGGCAUAUAUUUUAUUAAUCAUCAAAAACAAAUAGCUUUGUUAUCUUUUAUUUAAAGAGCUCUUAGCGCACUGUAUAAGAGCUAAAGGAGUACAUGCUUUUAAUUCCUUCCAUAAACAAAUCCACUGACUUGAUUUAUUUUUUAUUUUUAUUUUUUUUUACAUGUUGAAGGCACUAAGAGUUUAUGGUUUGCUAUAUGAUGCUCACUGCUAAUGGUACCCAUCACAUUUUUGUGGUAUCAGUGUUGUCUGUUUUCCAUAAAUGUGCCAUUAUAAUUCAAAACAGCAGCUUCAAAUAUGUUUUGCCUUUACCCAGCAGGAGAUCACAUCACGUUGUUUUACACUCCCAGUGGAAUUGCAAUAACUGAAGUAUAAUUUGUAUGGCCUUUCCAGUCUUUAAUGUUUAACCAAAGUACCCUGC
Long non-coding RNA from Gallus gallus (chicken), 1322 nucleotides. Lineage: Eukaryota; Metazoa; Chordata; Aves; Galliformes; Phasianidae. The record is from Ensembl.